Molecule: ribosomal RNA, 119 nt
Filed under: Salmo trutta (river trout)
Lineage: Eukaryota; Metazoa; Chordata; Actinopteri; Salmoniformes; Salmonidae
Source: RNAcentral
GUUUACGGCCAUACCAGCCUGGGUACGCCCGAUCUCGUCUGAUCUCGGAAGCUAAGCAGGGUCGGGCCUGGUUAGUACUUGGUUGGGAGACUGCCUGGGAAUACCAGGUGAUGUAAGCU